CCCUACGGGGGGCAGCAGUGGGGAAUAUUGCACAAUGGGGGAAACCCUGAUGCAGCGACGCCGCGUGAGUGAAGAAGUAUUUCGGUAUGUAAAGCUCUAUCAGCAGGGAAGAAAAAAGACGGUACCUGACUAAGAAGCCCCGGCUAACUACGUGCCAGCAGCCGCGGUAAUACGUAGGUGGCAAGCGUUAUCCGGAUUUAUUGGGUGUAAAGGGCGUGUAGGCGGGAGCGCAAGUCAGAUGUGAAAACUCAGGGCUCAACCCUGAGCCUGCCUUUGAAACUGUGUUUCUUUAGUGCUGGAGAGGC
RNAcentral lists this ribosomal RNA (305 nucleotides) under uncultured bacterium. Its description in RNAcentral is "bacterial SSU rRNA". It matches the Rfam family "Bacterial small subunit ribosomal RNA", at positions 337 to 658 of the family's 1533-position model. The record is from RNAcentral.